This 238-nucleotide ribosomal RNA is filed under the name uncultured bacterium. Its description in RNAcentral is "partial 16S ribosomal RNA". It matches the Rfam family "Bacterial small subunit ribosomal RNA", at positions 96 to 334 of the family's 1533-position model. The record is from RNAcentral.
CGGCGGACGGGUGAGUAACGCGUGGGUAACCUACCCUGUACACACGGAUAACAUACCGAAAGGUAUGCUAAUACGGGAUAAUAUAUUUGAGAGGCAUCUCUUAAAUAUCAAAGGUGAGCCAGUACAGGAUGGACCCGCGUCUGAUUAGCUAGUUGGUAAGGUAACGGCUUACCAAGGCGACGAUCAGUAGCCGACCUGAGAGGGUGAUCGGCCACAUUGGAACUGAGACACGAUCCAA